This 454-nucleotide ribosomal RNA is filed under the name Anablepsoides sp. UFRJ 9313. RNAcentral describes it as "partial large subunit ribosomal RNA". It matches the Rfam family "Bacterial large subunit ribosomal RNA", at positions 1927 to 2534 of the family's 2925-position model. The record is from RNAcentral. Lineage: Eukaryota; Metazoa; Chordata; Actinopteri; Cyprinodontiformes; Rivulidae.
ACGGCCGCGGUAUCUUGACCGUGUGAAGGUAGCGUAAUCAUUUGUCUUUUAAAUGAAGACCUGUAUGAAUGGCGCAACGAGAGCUUAACUGUCUCACUCUCUCAGUCAAUGAAAUUGAUCUCCCCGUGCAGAAGCGAGGAUUAAAACAUAAGACGAAAAGACCCUAUGGAGCUUUAGAUCCUGAAACAGCCCUCUUAUACUUAAUACAAUAAUAUUUCUGGUCCCUGUUUCUAUGUUUCUUCGGUUGGGGCGACCAUGGAGAAAAACAUAACCUCCACGAAAAGCACUAAGUGUUUAAUAUAAACCAAGAACAACAACUCUAAUUUCCAGAAUUUCUGUUCACUAAAGAUCCGAUUAACAACUAAUCGAUCAACGAAACAAGUUACCCUAGGGAUAACAGCGCAAUCCCCUUCUAGAGCCCACAUCGACAAGGGGGUUUACGACCUCGAUGUUG